AAUAAUCACAACGAUUACUUAACGAGCACACUGCAGAAAACCUCACAUAGUAGUGCUAAAAAUAGUGGGGUGGUGGGUCCGGCUGUAGCAUUUACAACGACGGGCCAC
Molecule: non-coding RNA, 108 nt
Filed under: unclassified sequences
Description: IMES-2 RNA motif
Rfam family: IMES-2 RNA motif (bases 16-108)
Source: Rfam by way of RNAcentral